RNAcentral lists this ribosomal RNA (468 nucleotides) under uncultured bacterium. RNAcentral's name for it is "partial 16S ribosomal RNA". It matches the Rfam family "Bacterial small subunit ribosomal RNA", at positions 28 to 507 of the family's 1533-position model. The record is from RNAcentral.
GACGAACGCUGGCGGCGUGCUUAACACAUGCAAGUCGAACGGAAAGGCCCUGCUUUUGUUGGGUGCUCGAGUGGCUAAAGUGUGGGUCACGCGUGAGUCACCUGCCUUUUCCUUUCGGAUAACUUCAAUAAACUUGGGCUACUACCUGUUAGUCGCUCCUGCUGCAUGGUGUGGGUUGGAAGGUUUCGGCGGUUGGGGAUGGACUCGCGGCUUAUCAGCUUGUUGGUGGGGUAGUGGCUUACCAAGGCUUUGACGGGUAGCCGGCCGGAGAGGGUGAACGGCCACAUGGGCAAUGAGAUAAGGGCAAGACGCCUACGGGAAUAAGGCGCAGUGAAUAUUGCACAAUGGGCGGAAGCCUGCUGCAGCAACGCCGGGUGUGGGAUGACGGACUUUGGGUUGUAAACCGCUUGCGCCUGUGACGAAGCGGGAGUGACGGUAAUGGGUAAAGAAGCACCGGCUAACUACGUG